This is a long non-coding RNA of Diospyros lotus (date-plum), 2638 nucleotides long. RefSeq lists it as uncharacterized. The record is from RefSeq and is a predicted model, not a curated record. NCBI's taxonomy places the organism in Eukaryota, Viridiplantae, Streptophyta, Magnoliopsida, Ericales, Ebenaceae. The transcript is spliced from 2 exons.
AAUAACUAAAUUAAAGUGUAUUCUGAGUUCAAUUGAUUUUUUGUGAACGAAUUACGACGAUUCGUCUUUUCGGCCUGAUUUUAAGCUGCACAAAAAACUGUUUCCGAUCAGAUUUUUUUCGAUGUCAUAAUAAUCGUAUCGAAAUUCUGGUUCGCUUCAUAUAAUUGUUUUUAGAUAUCUUGAUUUCAGAGCACUCUCUCCAAUCCAUUCGGUUACUCAUAAUUGUACCGAAAAUCAAGUUAAAUCCCUAAUCUUUUGAAUAUUUCAAUUACACUUCCAAAUAAAACUACACUUAAAACCAUAUGAAAUUAUCUUCAUUCCACCAUUGAAUAUUGAAAAAAAAAAAAGAAAUUUCUUUUUUCGACCAAAGUCGCGAAAAAUGAAGAAAUUACGCUUACGUCCUAUUGUUCGAUUUGAUCGCUAGUACUUUUGUUUCAACAUUAAACAAUCAAAAGGUUGUUCUAAUAACUAAAUUAAAGUGUAUUUUGAGUUCAAUUGAUUUUUUGUGAACGAAUUACGACGAUUCGUCUUUUCGGCCUGAUUUUUUGCUGCACAAAAAACUGUUUCCGAUCAGAUUUUUUUCGAUGUCAUAAUAAUCGUAUCGAAAUUCUGGUUCGUUUCAUAUAAUUGUUUUUAGAUAUCUUGAUUUCGGAGCACUCCCUCCAAUCCAUUCGGUUACUCAUAUUUGUACCGAAAAUCAAGUUAAACCCCUAAUCUUUUGAAUAUUUCAAUUACACUUCCAAAUAAAACUACACUUAAAACCAUAUGAAAUUAUCUUUAUUCCACCAUUACAAAUUGAAAAAAAAAAAAGAAAUUUCUUUUUUCGACGAUUGUCGGGAAAAAUGAAGAAAUUACGCUUACGUCCUACUGUUCGAUUUGAUCGCGAGUACUUUUGUUGCAACAUUAAACAAUCAAAAGGUUGUUCUAAUAAGUAAAUUAAAGUGUAUUUUGAGUUCAAUUGACUUUUUGUGAACGAAUUACGACGAUUCGACUUUUCGGCCUGAUUUUUAGCUGCACAAAAAACUGUUUCCGAUCAGAUUUUUUUUCGAUGUCAUAAUAAUCGUAUCGAAAUUCUGGUUCGUUUCAUAUAAUUGUUUUUACAUAUCUUGAUUUCGGAGCACUCCCUCCAAUCCAUUCGGUUACCCAUAAUUGUACCGAAAAUCAAGUUAAACCCCUAAUCUUUUGAAUAUUUCAAUUACACUUCCAAAUAAAACUACACUUAAAACCAUAUGAAAUUAUCUUCAUUCCACCAUUGAAAAUUGACAAAAAAAAAAAGAAAUUUCUUUUUUCGACCAAAGUCGGGAAAAAUAAAGAAAUUACGCUUACGUCCUAUUGUUCGAUUUGAUCGCUAGUACUUUUGUUUCAACAUUAAACAAUCAAAAGGUUGUUCUAAUAACUAAAUUAAAGUGUAUUUUGAGUUCAAUUGACUUUUUGUGAACGAAUUACGACGAUUCGUCUUUUCGGCCUGAUUUUUAGCUGCACAAAAAACUGUUUCCGAUCAGAUUUUUUUCGAUGUCAUAAUAAUCGUAUCGAAAUUCUGGUUCGUUUCAUAUAAUUGUUUUUAGAUAUCUUGAUUUCGGAGCACUCCCUCCAAUCCAUUCGGUUACUCAUAAUUGUACCGAAAAUCAAGUUAAACCCCUAAUCUUUUGAAUAUUUCAAUUACACUUCCAAAUAAAACUACACUUAAAACCAUAUGAAAUUAUCUUCAUUCCACCAUUGAAAAUUGACAAAAAAAAAAAGAAAUUUCUUUUUUCGACCAAAGUCGGGAAAAAUGAAGAAAUUACGCUUACGUCCUAUUGUUCGAUUUGAUCGCUAGUACUUUUGUUUCAACAUUAAACAACCAAAAGGUUGUUCUAAUAACUAAAUUAAAGUGUAUUUUGAGUUCAAUUGACUUUUUGUGAACGAAUUACGACGAUUCGACUUUUCGGCCUGAUUUUUAGCUGCACAAAAAACUGUUUCCGAUCAGAUUUUUUUCGAUGUCAUAAUAAUCGUAUCGAAAUUCUGGUUCGUUUCAUAUAAUUGUUUUUAGAUAUCUUGAUUUCGGAGCACUCCCUCCAAUCCAUUCGGUUACUCAUAAUUGUACCGAAAAUCAAGUUAAACCCCUAAUCUUUUGAAUAUUUCAAUUACACUUCCAAAUAAAACUACACUUAAAACCAUAUGAAAUUAUCUUCAUUCCACCAUUGAAAAUUGACAAAAAAAAAAGAAAUUUUUUUUUUCGACCAAAGUCGGGAAAAAUGAAGAAAUUACGCUUACGUCCUAUUGUUCGAUUUGAUCGCUAGUACUUUUGUUUCAACAUUAAACAACCAAAAGGUUGUUCUAAUAACUAAAUUAAAGUGUAUUUUGAGUUCAAUUGACUUUUUGUGAACGAAUUACGACGAUUCGACUUUUCGGCCUGAUUUUUAGCUGCACAAAAAACUGUUUCCGAUCAGAUUUUUUUCGAUGUCAUAAUAAUCGUAUCGAAAUUCUGGUUCGUUUCAUAUAAUUGUUUUUAGAUAUCUUGAUUUCGGAGCACUCCCUCCAAUCCAUUCGGUUACUCAUAAUUGUACCGAAAAUCAAGUUAAACCCCUAAUCUUUUGAAUAUUUCAAUUACACUUCCAAAUAAAACUACACUUAAAACCAUAUGAAAUUAUCUUCAUUC